This 504-nucleotide unclassified non-coding RNA is filed under the name Hevea brasiliensis (rubber tree). Lineage: Eukaryota; Viridiplantae; Streptophyta; Magnoliopsida; Malpighiales; Euphorbiaceae. The record is from RNAcentral.
UACGAAAUUACACAUUUCCUUGUUUAAGAAUGUUUAGCCCAAAUUACAUGCAGACCAAUAAAGCCAUGUAGGUGGUGGAUCACCAAACAUCUGCCCCCUUUGUUGCCCCAAAGACAAUUGCUAUAGUUGCCAGAACAGCCGCAAUAGUGCAAACAACAAAUCCUGCUUUUUCCCUGUAAUCAACUCUGACACAUAGCAGAAUGAAGGCUCCAACAUACCAGGGAAUAGCAACAAAAAAGAAGCCAAGGAUGAAGAGAAACCAUCCAAUACCCAUGCCACAGCAGGGAAGACGGUGCAGUCUUAAGGGCCUGCCUUCAGCAACAACUGCAUAACCGGGAACGGCCUGGUAGCCAUGGGCGUAGUAGGCCGGGGUGGCGGAGUGGACUCCGGCGCCGGGCGGCGGAACCGGCUGAGGGAAGCCGAUCGCCGGCGGUGAAUGGCUCGGAGCGCCACCGCUGUGGAACGUGCCGUAGUGAUCGGGCUUCCCCUCCUCGCUCAUUUUAG